GAUGAACGCUGGCGGCGUGCCUAAUACAUGCAAGUAGAACGCUGAAGGAGGAGCUUGCUUCUCUGGAUGAUUUGCGAACGGGUGAGUAACGCGUAGGUAACCUGCCUGUUAGCGGGGGAUAACUAUUGGAAACGAUAGCUAAUACCGCAUAAGAGUAGAUGUUGCAUGACAUUUGCUUAAAAGGUGCAAUUUCAUCACUACCAGAUGGACCUGCGUUGUAUUAGCUAGUUGGUGAGGUAACGGCUCACCAAAGCGACGAUACAUCGCCGACCUGAGAGGGGGAUCGGCCACAAUGGGAAUGAGACAACGCUCAGACUCCUACGGGAGGCAGCAGUAGGGGAUCUUUGGGAAUGGACGGAAGUCUGACCGAGCAACGGCGCGUGAGUGGAGGAAGGUCUCGGAUCGUAAAGCUCUGUUGUAAGGGAAGAACGAGAGUGAGAGUGGAAAGUUCACACUGUGACGGUAUCUUACCAGAAAGGGACGGCUAACUACGUG
RNAcentral lists this ribosomal RNA (495 nucleotides) under uncultured bacterium. RNAcentral's name for it is "partial 16S ribosomal RNA". It matches the Rfam family "Bacterial small subunit ribosomal RNA", at positions 28 to 507 of the family's 1533-position model. The record is from RNAcentral.